RNAcentral lists this ribosomal RNA (440 nucleotides) under uncultured bacterium. RNAcentral's name for it is "partial 16S ribosomal RNA". It matches the Rfam family "Bacterial small subunit ribosomal RNA", at positions 338 to 795 of the family's 1533-position model. The record is from RNAcentral.
CCUACGGGUGGCAGCAGUAAGGGAUAUUGGUCAAUGGGGGAAACCCUGAACCAGCAACGCCGCGUGGGGGAAGACGGUUUUCGGAUUGUAAACCUCUGUUCUCUGUGAAGAUGAUGACGGUAGCUGAGGAAUAAGCACCGGCUAACUCCGUGCCAGCAGCCGCGGUAAUACGUAGGGUGCGAGCGUUGCUCGGAUUUACUGGGUGUAAAGGGUGCGUAGGCGGCAUGGCAAGUCAGUUGUGAAAUCCAAGGGCUUAACCCAAGAACUGCAAUUGAAACUGUUAUGCUUGAGUGAGGGAGAGGUAGGCGGAAUUCUUGGUGUAGGGGUAAAAUGCGUAGAGAUCAAGAGGAAUACUAGUGGCGAAGGCGACCUGCUGGGACUUAACUGACGCUGAGGCACGAAAGCGUGGGUAGCAAACAGGAUUAGAUACCCGUGUAGUC